AGAUAAUCGAAACUUUGAACAAGUUAGCUACAUUUCAGAAUAUACUGACAGAUUUCAAAAGCAUUUGUUCUUCCAAAGCUUUUCAGCUUGUUAAUGACCAACUUCAGAAGUCUCAAGCAGAGUUGGAUGAUCACAAAUCAUUGUUAGAAAAAUUACAGGUUGAUAUGGAUAGCUUUGUUUGGCAAGAAACGCAAUUUAAUAAAAAAAAAUUGAUCUGGCUGAAAUACCCAAGAUGGUUUUUGCAUACUAUGUUUCUAGGAUGGCUAAUCUUGAGAAGGAUG
This is a long non-coding RNA of Panicum virgatum (switchgrass), 281 nucleotides long. RefSeq lists it as uncharacterized. The record is from RefSeq and is a predicted model, not a curated record. The transcript has 3 exons. NCBI's taxonomy places the organism in Eukaryota, Viridiplantae, Streptophyta, Magnoliopsida, Poales, Poaceae.